Molecule: transfer RNA, 72 nt
Filed under: Hordeum vulgare
Lineage: Eukaryota; Viridiplantae; Streptophyta; Magnoliopsida; Poales; Poaceae
Description: tRNA-OTHER
Source: RNAcentral
GAUCGGCUAGCGUAGUGGUGUUGUGACUGGGGGGCAACCAGUAGGUUGUGGGUUCGAAUCCCACAUCCCCCC